This 268-nucleotide ribosomal RNA is filed under the name uncultured bacterium. RNAcentral's name for it is "partial 16S ribosomal RNA". It matches the Rfam family "Bacterial small subunit ribosomal RNA", at positions 88 to 354 of the family's 1533-position model. The record is from RNAcentral.
UAGCUUAGUGGCGGACGGGUGAGUAACGCGUGAGCAACCUGCCUUUCAGAGGGGGAUAACGUUUGGAAACGAACGCUAAUACCGCAUAAGACCACACUUCCACAUGGGAGAGGGGUCAAAGGAGCAAUCCGCUGAAAGAUGGGCUCGCGUCCGAUUAGAUAGUUGGGGGGGUAACGGCCCACCAAGUCGACGAUCGGUAGCCGGACUGAGAGGUUGAACGGCCACAUUGGGACUGAGACACGGCCCAGACUCCUACGGGAGGCAGCAG